GAUGAAGAACGUAGCGAAAUGCGAUAAGUAAUGUGAAUUGCAGAAUUCAGUGAAUCAUCGAAUGUUUGAACGCACCUUGCGCCCUUUGGCCAUUCCGAAGGGCAUGCCUGUUUGAGUAUCAUGAACACCUCAACUAUUUAUGGUUUUCCAUGAUGAGCUUGGACUCUGGGGGUUUUGCUGGCUCACAGUCGGCUCCUCUAAAAUGAAUCAGCUUACCAGUGUUUGGUGGGUAUCAUGGGUGUGAUAACUAUCUACGCUUGUGGUUUUUCCACCAGGUAACCUUCAGCAGUGGAGGUCCGCUGGAGCUCAUAGAUGUCUCUCCUCAGUGAGGACAGCCCUUUGAAUGUUUGAUCUCAAAUCAGGUAGGACUACCCGCUGAACUUAAGCAUAUCAAUAAGCGGAGGA
RNAcentral lists this unclassified non-coding RNA (405 nucleotides) under soil metagenome. Its description in RNAcentral is "partial contains 5.8S ribosomal RNA, internal transcribed spacer 2, and large subunit ribosomal RNA". The stretch from base 1 to 121 matches the Rfam family "5.8S ribosomal RNA", at positions 35 to 154 of the family's 154-position model. The record is from RNAcentral.